UCUCUGGUGGCUCAGAUGGUAAAGUGUCUGCCUUCAAAGCAGGAGACCCAGGUUCGAUCCUGGGUCAGGAAG
This 72-nucleotide transfer RNA is filed under the name Ovis aries (sheep). It matches the Rfam family "tRNA". From Rfam's summary of the family: Transfer RNA (tRNA) molecules are approximately 80 nucleotides in length. Their secondary structure includes four short double-helical elements and three loops (D, anti-codon, and T loops). Lineage: Eukaryota; Metazoa; Chordata; Mammalia; Artiodactyla; Bovidae. The record is from Rfam by way of RNAcentral.